This 497-nucleotide ribosomal RNA is filed under the name uncultured bacterium. Its description in RNAcentral is "partial 16S ribosomal RNA". It matches the Rfam family "Bacterial small subunit ribosomal RNA", at positions 28 to 507 of the family's 1533-position model. The record is from RNAcentral.
GAUGAACGCUGGCGGCGUGCCUAAUACAUGCAAGUCGAGCGAACAGACGAGGAGCUUGCUCCUCUGACGUUAGCGGCGGACGGGUGAGUAACACGUGGAUAACCUACCUAUAAGACUGGGAUAACUUCGGGAAACCGGAGCUAAUACCGGAUAAUAUAUUGAACCGCAUGGUUCAAUAGUGAAAGACGGUUUUGCUGUCACUUAUAGAUGGAUCCGCGCCGCAUUAGCUAGUUGGUAAGGUAGCGGCUUACCAAGGCAAUGAUGCGUAGCCGACCUGAGAGGGUGAUCGGCCACACUGGAACUGAGACACGGUCCAGACUCCUACGGGAGGCAGCAGUAGGGAAUCUUCCGCAAUGGGCGAAAGCCUGACGGAGCAACGCCGCGUGAGUGAUGAAGGUCUUCGGAUCGUAAAACUCUGUUAUUAGGGAAGAACAAAUGUGUAAGUAACUAUGCACGUCUUGACGGUACCUAAUCAGAAAGCCACGGCUAACUACGUG